RNAcentral lists this ribosomal RNA (253 nucleotides) under uncultured bacterium. Its description in RNAcentral is "partial 16S ribosomal RNA". It matches the Rfam family "Bacterial small subunit ribosomal RNA", at positions 524 to 776 of the family's 1533-position model. The record is from RNAcentral.
UACAGAGGUCCCGAGCGUUGCUCGGAUUUACUGGGCGGAAAGGGUGUGUAGGAGGUUAGAUAAGUCAGAUGUGAAAUCCCUUUGCUCAACCAAGGAACUGCACUUGAUACUGUCUAGCUAGAGGACAGGAGGGGGAAGCGGAACUCCUGGUGUAGCGGUGAAAUGCGUGGAUAUCGAGAGGAACACCGAUGGCGAAGGCGGCUUCCUGGACAAAACCUGACGCUGAUACACGAAAGCUAGCGGAGCGAACGGG